CUACGGGAGGCAGCAGUGGGGAAUCUUGCACAAUGGAGGAAACUCUGAUGCAGCGAUGCCGCGUGAGUGAAGAAGGCCCUUGGGUUGUAAAGCUCUUUCGUCGGGGAAGAAAAUGACUGUACCCGAAUAAGAAGGUCCGGCUAACUUCGUGCCAGCAGCCGCGGUAAUACGAAGGGACCUAGCGUAGUUCGGAAUUACUGGGCUUAAAGAGUUCGUAGGUGGUUGAAAAAGUUGGUGGUGAAAUCCCAGAGCUUAACUCUGGAACUGCCAUCAAAACUUUUCAGCUAGAGUAUGAUAGAGGAAAGCAGAAUUUCUAGUGUAGAGGUGAAAUUCGUAGGUAUUAGAAAGAAUACCAAUUGCGAAGGCAGCUUUCUGGAUCAUUACUGACACUGAGGAACGAAAGCAUGGGUAGCGAAGAGGAUUAGAUACCCUCGUAGUCCAUGCCGUAAACGAUGUGUGUUAGACGUUGGAAAUCUAUUUUCAGUGUCGCAGGGAAACCGAUAAACACACCGCCUGGGGAGUACGACCGCAAGGUUAAAACUCAAAGGAAUUGACGGA
This 558-nucleotide ribosomal RNA is filed under the name uncultured bacterium. RNAcentral's name for it is "bacterial SSU rRNA". It matches the Rfam family "Bacterial small subunit ribosomal RNA", at positions 339 to 917 of the family's 1533-position model. The record is from RNAcentral.